GGGGGCACUGGAACCGGUAGUUCCCUGCGGUCUGCAAAACCGUACGCUUUUCUGAGAACCAGAUGGUUAGUGGGUUCGACUCCCACGUGCCCCCUCCA
This 98-nucleotide transfer RNA is filed under the name Thermoleophilia bacterium. RNAcentral's name for it is "tRNA-OTHER". It matches the Rfam family "Selenocysteine transfer RNA". The record is from RNAcentral. Lineage: Bacteria; Bacillati; Actinomycetota; Thermoleophilia.